This 155-nucleotide ribosomal RNA is filed under the name Cabomba sp. RNAcentral's name for it is "5.8S ribosomal RNA". It matches the Rfam family "5.8S ribosomal RNA". From Rfam's summary of the family: 5.8S ribosomal RNA (5.8S rRNA) is a component of the large subunit of the eukaryotic ribosome. It is transcribed by RNA polymerase I as part of the 45S precursor that also contains 18S and 28S rRNA. Lineage: Eukaryota; Viridiplantae; Streptophyta; Magnoliopsida; Nymphaeales; Cabombaceae. The record is from RNAcentral.
ACGACUCUCGGCAACGGAUAUCUCGGCUCUCGCAUCGAUGAAGAACGCAGCAAAAUGCGAUACUUGGUGUGAAUUGCAGAAUCCCGUGAACCAUCAAGUCUUUGAACGCAAGUUGCGCCCGAGGCCUAGGCUAAGGGCACGUCUGCCUGGGCGUC